UGUUAAUGGAAUAUGGGAGGCUGAAUGCCGAUUUCCCAUUGGCUGGUGAAGGUCUUUAACUGCUAGGGAAGACCAGCACAGUAAACAGGAAGUCAUCUCCAUGGCAACUGGCCAUUCAACUUAACUUUUUAACACACGAAGAGGUAAUUACCUUAUUUUUUAUUUCCAUUUUUAUAAUUUUCACAGUUUAUAAUAGCAGUGAAGACCUUCGGGUCAGGCAUUUCCUGGCUGUUAAUAACAGGCUGAUUUAAGGCCACCAAUGCUUAAACGUUGUGCCAAUUUUUUUUUUUUUAAUGAAAAGAGAGCUGUAAUUUUUUUUUUCCUUCCUGAAGUCUGUAGCAUAAAUAAAUGACAGAAUUUUAUGUUCACACACAUGGUGUUCUGAUUUCCUGCUGACGAUAACAUCAGGGAGGGGACUGAUCAUCUCGCCGGGGAUGGGGGGUGAGGGGUGAGGGGUGGGGGAGGCGGGUGGCGUGGAGGCGGGACAUGGGAGGGAAAAGCCACUGGUGGAUUCCUCUGGAUGGCAGGUUGGAAGAUGAAACCAAGGGAAGACAGGACUGAAGGCCACGCAGGGCAGGACUCAGAACCUGAGGAUGCAGGAGGCUCGGAGACCAGGGAACGUUCUGUUGGAGGCAAUCAACAAUCCUUGGGAACUCACCACAGGAGCCAGAGUCCAAGGCAGCUUCCCUGGCCUUUGCCCACCCGGGAAAAUUUGUCUUCCCUACUAGGAGGAUCAGAGCUCUCUCUGCCUGGGAAGGAGAAGCUGUCCAAAAUCGCAGAGCCUGGCUUGGAAUUGAAGUUUGGCCUUUAACCUUCGGAGAAAGAGUGAGAUUUCAAUUAUCUUAAGAAUGUGUCAGAUAAGGGAAGUGAACUCAACAAGAUAAAUAGAGGUAGAAAGAAAAGAAAUUAUACUGGAUCAGAGAAAUUGAUAUAUCGGUAGUAUUUGCUGAGCAACUACUCGGUUUAGGUGCUAUCAAGAAUAAACAAAGGCUAAAAAUUGUCUAUUCUCUAGCU
RNAcentral lists this long non-coding RNA (1014 nucleotides) under Vulpes vulpes (red fox). RNAcentral describes it as "lncRNA (ENSVVUG00000026742.1)". Lineage: Eukaryota; Metazoa; Chordata; Mammalia; Carnivora; Canidae. The record is from RNAcentral.